UAUAAAUGUAAAAUUAAACUAGAUUAGUAUUAGUUAUGUUCUUGAAAAUUAAAAAUUUUGGCGGUUUUUUAGUCUAUUCAGAGGAACCUGUUCUAUAAAUGAUAGUCCACGAUUUGAAUAUCCUUUAUUAUUAGUUUGUAUAUCGUCGUAGUUUGAAUAUUUUAAAAGAAUUAAAAUAUUCAAAAUUUAUUUAAAUAAGAAAUAUCAGAUCAAGGUAUAGCUUAUAUAAAGGUAGAAAUGGGUUACAUUAAUUUUAAUUAUAGAUUGUUAAUUUAAAAUUAAAUAUGAAAAAGGAUUUGAUAGUAAUUUUUAAUAAAUUUUAAAAAUGAUUUUAGCUCUAAAAA
This 344-nucleotide ribosomal RNA is filed under the name Monochamus sartor rosenmuelleri. RNAcentral's name for it is "partial 12S ribosomal RNA". The record is from RNAcentral. Lineage: Eukaryota; Metazoa; Arthropoda; Insecta; Coleoptera; Cerambycidae.